RNAcentral lists this unclassified non-coding RNA (392 nucleotides) under soil metagenome. RNAcentral's name for it is "partial contains 5.8S ribosomal RNA, internal transcribed spacer 2, and large subunit ribosomal RNA". The stretch from base 1 to 122 matches the Rfam family "5.8S ribosomal RNA", at positions 35 to 154 of the family's 154-position model. The record is from RNAcentral.
GAUGAAGAACGUAGCGAAAUGCGAUACUUGGUGUGAAUUGCAGAAUCCCGUGAACCAUUGAGUUUUUGAACGCAAGUUGCGCCCGAAGCCGUUAGGCCGAGGGCACGCCUGCCUGGGCGUCACACGUCGUUGCCCCCCCCAUCUACUCCUUCGGGAUUGCGGGGGGCGGAUGAUGGCCUCCCGUGCGCCUCGCCGCGCGGUUGGCAUAAAUGCCAAGUCCUCGGCGACGCACGCCACGACAAUCGGUGGUUGCGAAACCUCGGUUGCCCGUCGUGUGCGGUCGUCGCGCAUCGAGGGCUCGAAAAAAUUGCCGAGUUCCGGCUCGGCUUUCAACGCGACCCCAGGUCAGGCGGGGUUACCCGCUGAAUUUAAGCAUAUCAAUAAGCGGAGGA